RNAcentral lists this ribosomal RNA (398 nucleotides) under uncultured bacterium. RNAcentral's name for it is "partial 16S ribosomal RNA". It matches the Rfam family "Bacterial small subunit ribosomal RNA", at positions 523 to 918 of the family's 1533-position model. The record is from RNAcentral.
AUACGUAGGGUGCGAGCGUUGUCCGGAAUUACUGGGCGUAAGGAGCUCGUAGGUGGUUUGUCGCGUCGUCUGUGAAAUUCCGGGGCUUAACUCCGGGCGUGCAGGCGAUACGGGCAUAACUUGAGUACUGUAGGGGAGACUGGAAUUCCUGGUGUAGCGGUGAAAUGCGCAGAUAUCAGGAGGAACACCGGUGGCGAAGGCGGGUCGCUGGGCAGUAACUGACGCUGAGGAGCGAAAGCAUGGGUAGCGAACAGGAUUAGAUACCCUGGUAGUCCAUGCCGUAAACGGUGGGCGCUAGGUGUAGGGGUCUUCCACGACUUCUGUGCCGUAGCUAACGCAUUAAGCGCCCCGCCUGGGGAGUACGGCCGCAAGGCUAAAACUCAAAUGAAUUGACGGGG